CCUACAGGAGGCUGCAGUGGGGAAUAUUGGACAAUGGGGGGAACCCUGAUCCAGCCAUGCCGCGUGUGUGAAGAAGGCCCUCGGGUUGUAAAGCACUUUCAGUGAGGAAGAACGCCUGGUGGUUAAUACCCAUCAGGAAAGACAUCACUCACAGAAGAAGCACCAGCUAACUCCGUGCCAGCAGCCGCGGUAAUACGGAGGGUGCGAGCGUUAAUCGGAAUUACUGGGCGUAAAGCGCGCGUAGGUGGCUUGAUAAGCCGGUUGUGAAAGCCCCGGGCUCAACCUGGGAACGGCAUCCGGAACUGUCAAGCUAGAGUGCAGGAGAGGAAGGUAGAAUUCCCGGUGUAGCGGUGAAAUGCGUAGAGAUCGGGAGGAAUACCAGUGGCGAAGGCGGCCUUCUGGACUGACACUGACACUGAGGUGCGAAAGCGUGGGUAGCAAACAGGAUUAGAUACCCGUGUAGUC
RNAcentral lists this ribosomal RNA (465 nucleotides) under Vreelandella stevensii. RNAcentral describes it as "partial 16S ribosomal RNA". It matches the Rfam family "Bacterial small subunit ribosomal RNA", at positions 338 to 795 of the family's 1533-position model. The record is from RNAcentral. Lineage: Bacteria; Pseudomonadati; Pseudomonadota; Gammaproteobacteria; Oceanospirillales; Halomonadaceae.